RNAcentral lists this ribosomal RNA (461 nucleotides) under uncultured bacterium. RNAcentral's name for it is "partial 16S ribosomal RNA". It matches the Rfam family "Bacterial small subunit ribosomal RNA", at positions 338 to 795 of the family's 1533-position model. The record is from RNAcentral.
CCUACGGGAGGCAGCAGUGAGGAAUAUUGGUCAAUGGGCGGAAGCCUGAACCAGCCAAGUCGCGUGAGGGAUUAAGGCCCUGCGGGUCGUAAACCUCUUUUGCCGGGGAGCAGUGGUCCGGACGCGUCCGGACCGGGAGAGUACCCGGAGAAAAAGCAUCGGCUAACUCCGUGCCAGCAGCCGCGGUAAUACGUAGGGAGCAAGCGUUGUCCGGAAUUACUGGGCGUAAAGGGCGCGUAGGUGGGCGCUUAAGUCAGGUGUGAAAACUCCGGGCUCAACCUGGAGACUGCACUUGAAACUGGGUGUCUUGAGGGCAGGAGAGGAAAGUGGAAUGCCUAGUGUAGCGGUGAAAUGCGUAGAUAUUAGGAGGAACACCAGUGGCGAAGGCGACUUUCUGGACUGUACCUGACGCUGAGGCGCGAAAGCGUGGGUAGCGAACGGGAUUAGAUACCCCUGUAGUC